UGCUCCUACGGGGGGCAGCAGUAGGGAAUCUUCCACAAUGGGCGAAAGCCUGAUGGAGCAACGCCGCGUGGGUAAAGAAGGUCUUCGGAUCGUAAAACCCUGUUGUUAGAGAAGAAAGUGCGUGAGAGUAACUGUUCACAUUUCGACGGUAUCUAACCAGAAAGCCACGGCUAACUACGUGCCAGCAGCCGCGGUAAUACGUAGGUGGCAAGCGUUAUCCGGAUUUAUUGGGCGUAAAGGGAACGCAGGCGGUUUUUUAAGUCUGGUGUGAGAGCCUUCGGCUUAACCCAGGUAGUGCAUUGGAA
Molecule: ribosomal RNA, 305 nt
Filed under: uncultured bacterium
Lineage: Bacteria
Description: bacterial SSU rRNA
Rfam family: Bacterial small subunit ribosomal RNA
Source: RNAcentral